This is a long non-coding RNA of Alosa sapidissima (American shad), 189 nucleotides long. RefSeq lists it as uncharacterized. The transcript has 3 exons. The record is from RefSeq and is a predicted model, not a curated record. NCBI's taxonomy places the organism in Eukaryota, Metazoa, Chordata, Actinopteri, Clupeiformes, Clupeidae.
GUGUCUCUGUGCAGAGUGUGUGUGACGCCAGGUUAGUGGAACCCCACGGUCUCUGUGCAGAGUGUGUGUGUGUGACGCACAGGUUAGUGGAACCCCAGAGUGUGUGUGUGUGACGCCAGGUUAGUGGAAGCCCACUGUCUCUGUGCAGAGUGUGUGUGUGUGACACCCAGGUUAGUGGAACCCCACAGU